Molecule: transfer RNA, 77 nt
Filed under: Acetobacteraceae bacterium
Lineage: Bacteria; Pseudomonadati; Pseudomonadota; Alphaproteobacteria; Acetobacterales; Acetobacteraceae
Description: tRNA-Arg
Rfam family: tRNA
About the family: Transfer RNA (tRNA) molecules are approximately 80 nucleotides in length. Their secondary structure includes four short double-helical elements and three loops (D, anti-codon, and T loops).
Source: RNAcentral
GCGCCCGUAGCUCAACUGGAUAGAGCACCAGACUUCGAAUCUGGGGGCUGGGAGUUCGAACCUCUCCGGGCGCGCAA